ACGAUGUGCGUGCGGAUGUUUUUUCCCGUUCGUACGGCGCAUCUCACACGCAGAGUGAUUUUGACACAUCGAAGUAAACAAAGCAGCACGGUAAGUUCGCUAAAGUUUUUCGCUGAUAAUUACAUAUUAUUUAUACAUUUCAGCUGGUAAAGGGUAAUAUUUCGCUUCAUCAAUCAACAUUCAACCGAUCAACAUACGAUUCUGGCCAGUUUGCGACGUCAUUCUACCGUCGGACGAUACUGCAUCAGGUCGACGCGCGCCUGCGUUUCCUUGCAAUGGAACCUUAGCAGUGAAAAGGUAAACAAUGAACAUCGUGAAUUUUAUAUGCGUAUAACGUGAGGUUUUUCCUUUUUGAUUGCAUCAAAGCACACCGUCCAGCUAACAUGUACAAGGACAGUUUUGCGAAGAAGCCAAAUCGUGUGUUUCGUUGUCAGAUCGACAUGCGCAUCGACCUGUUAGUUAGCAGAUUAGCAGAGGAAACAUCGGAAACAAUCGGCUUUAUGGCCGGUACAAAAUCUCCUAUAUUACUAGAGUUUUGCGUUGGUACAUCCAGCGGUUCAACACAUACGCACGAUAGAUCUCGUAGCGUUAGAUAUUUAACAACGGAACCUUCCGGAAAUAUACAGGCAACUAAACGUAAUGAACGUACUCAUUCUCAAUCGAAAAGGAAAACAAGAUAUCCACCGUAUUGUGAGUUUGGUGACAAGGCGAUAAAGCUAAUUCAGCUCGUGAAUCUAGCAGUUCUACGCGUCGGAGGAUCAACUAUGCAAUAAGGUGAUGCUGCAUUAAAGCGAAAGUACUGGGCGCAACAAAAGCGAUGCUGUGAAAAUAUUUGUUGAGGUUCUUCUUGUAUCAGGUUAUCAACAGGUCUCUUGGGCAUCGUUCACACGUUAUUUCUUCGGGCAGCUAACAGGGUGGCAUACUUACUUAAAACGUAUGUUUUAAACGUGUGUGAAUAAGUUUUACUUGAUGUGCUGCGUGCAACAAUCAGAUCAUCCACCGUGUAUUACAUCAACUCAUGUACGAUGUACCUGGAAUGUUUGACCUAGUAGACAAAACCACAUACGAUUCGAACGAUACGAUAAGUAUAGUAAACGAACGUGACGAGGAGAUCUAUGGAUAAUUUCUUCAUUUGUGCGCGUUUGAAAUUUUGGGAAUGACCAAAUGUCUGGUUUCAACAGUUUCAACAGCACCACUUGGUGAUCCUCAACAUCAUCAUAGCGGAUGGACGGGCAGAUCAUAUGAUUUACCAUUGGAUGCCGAAGAUCGCGUAAUUCAACUGUAGUGUAGCAACCAAAAAAUCGGUA
RNA transcript from Anopheles coustani, 1307 nucleotides. RefSeq lists it as uncharacterized. The record is from RefSeq and is a predicted model, not a curated record. NCBI's taxonomy places the organism in Eukaryota, Metazoa, Arthropoda, Insecta, Diptera, Culicidae. The transcript has 10 exons.